UGGGGUGUAGUUCAAUGGUAGACCAUGUGCUUGGCAUGCAAAAGGCCCUGGGUUCAAGCCCAAGCAUCCAAA
This is a non-coding RNA of Ictidomys tridecemlineatus (thirteen-lined ground squirrel), 72 nucleotides long. Lineage: Eukaryota; Metazoa; Chordata; Mammalia; Rodentia; Sciuridae. The record is from Rfam.